RNAcentral lists this transfer RNA (72 nucleotides) under Ovis aries (sheep). It matches the Rfam family "tRNA". From Rfam's summary of the family: Transfer RNA (tRNA) molecules are approximately 80 nucleotides in length. The record is from Rfam by way of RNAcentral. Lineage: Eukaryota; Metazoa; Chordata; Mammalia; Artiodactyla; Bovidae.
UACCUUGUGGCUCAGCUGGUAAAGAAUCCGCCUACAAAGCGGGAGACCUAGGUUCAACCCCUGGCUUGGGAA